This 240-nucleotide ribosomal RNA is filed under the name Acinetobacter indicus. RNAcentral's name for it is "partial 16S ribosomal RNA". It matches the Rfam family "Bacterial small subunit ribosomal RNA", at positions 1 to 241 of the family's 1533-position model. Lineage: Bacteria; Pseudomonadati; Pseudomonadota; Gammaproteobacteria; Moraxellales; Moraxellaceae. The record is from RNAcentral.
UUUAACUGAAGAGUUUGAUCAUGGCUCAGAUUGAACGCUGGCGGCAGGCUUAACACAUGCAAGUCGAGCGGAGCGAGGGUGCUUGCACCUUAGCUUAGCGGCGGACGGGUGAGUAAUGCUUAGGAAUCUGCCUAUUAGUGGGGGACAACGUUCCGAAAGGGACGCUAAUACCGCAUACGCCCUACGGGGGAAAGCAGGGGAUCUUCGGACCUUGCGCUAAUAGAUGAGCCUAAGUCGGAU